AUAACCUUUAAUCUGGUCCAGAGAGGCUGUCAAGGAAUAUCGUGUUAAAAGGCAGAAGCUGUAUUCUGCCAGCUUUUUGUGCAACCUUGCCUGCUGGUAAGGUUUUUUUCAU
Streptococcus macacae NCTC 11558 is the source of this 112-nucleotide non-coding RNA. The record is from Rfam. Lineage: Bacteria; Bacillati; Bacillota; Bacilli; Lactobacillales; Streptococcaceae.